AGGGGUAUAGCUCAAAUGGUAGAGCCCAUGCUUAGAAUGCACAAGGUCCUGGGUUCAAUCCCCAGUACCUCCA
This 73-nucleotide transfer RNA is filed under the name Camelus bactrianus (Bactrian camel). It matches the Rfam family "tRNA". Rfam says of the family: Transfer RNA (tRNA) molecules are approximately 80 nucleotides in length. Their secondary structure includes four short double-helical elements and three loops (D, anti-codon, and T loops). Lineage: Eukaryota; Metazoa; Chordata; Mammalia; Artiodactyla; Camelidae. RNAcentral also lists the same sequence under 2 other names. The record is from Rfam by way of RNAcentral.